GAGAACUCCCAUGAUGCUGACAUAUUGAU
RNAcentral lists this non-coding RNA (29 nucleotides) under Mus musculus (house mouse). The record is from RNAcentral. Lineage: Eukaryota; Metazoa; Chordata; Mammalia; Rodentia; Muridae.